AUGGUAAAAUCACUCCAAAAGGAUCUGAAUUCCAUUGCUGAGAGGGUGGAGGGUUCGAACCGAUGGUGGUACAAGUUCAUAUUGACCGAGACCAUGUUUUCCUUACGCCGUCACCAGCAUUGCUGCAUCUCUUCAUGCUUAUCAGUUGUCACGACAAACAUGGAGGGUUCUUGGAAGGAGCAUUUUGACAGGAUUUCUGCAGAGGAGAGGAGCAAAUUUGAUGAAGAAACACUUUCAAACUCGGACGGGGUCAAACAAAAGAAAACCUACUCCAUGAAAACAGAUGGCAGCAGAAACGAGUACAUAGUGGUAACCAUUCUCGUUGCUGCUAAUGGAACAAUAAACCUCCCCGUGGCUAUCAAAAGCCCUGCAGAUCUGGAAGCAGUAGUGGCAAGGCUUAACUCUAUGCCUGCAAGUGAACUAAGGGGUGUUCGAGUCAUGUGGACCCCUCAAGAUGCGGAUGACGUUCUCUCGGAAGAGAGGAUGCGGAAGGAUUACCCAUACCUGAAGCCCCUUGCGUGA
Molecule: ribosomal RNA, 522 nt
Filed under: Triticum aestivum (bread wheat)
Lineage: Eukaryota; Viridiplantae; Streptophyta; Magnoliopsida; Poales; Poaceae
Description: partial small subunit ribosomal RNA
Source: RNAcentral